UCCCGGGUAGUGUAAUGGCAGCACGCGGGCUUUUGGUGCCUGUAGGUAGGGGUUCGAAUCCUCUCCCGGGAG
RNAcentral lists this transfer RNA (72 nucleotides) under Phytoactinopolyspora alkaliphila. It matches the Rfam family "tRNA". From Rfam's summary of the family: Transfer RNA (tRNA) molecules are approximately 80 nucleotides in length. Their secondary structure includes four short double-helical elements and three loops (D, anti-codon, and T loops). RNAcentral also lists the same sequence under 1 other name. The record is from Rfam by way of RNAcentral. Lineage: Bacteria; Bacillati; Actinomycetota; Actinomycetes; Jiangellales; Jiangellaceae.